This is a long non-coding RNA of Hibiscus syriacus, 1317 nucleotides long. RefSeq lists it as uncharacterized. NCBI's taxonomy places the organism in Eukaryota, Viridiplantae, Streptophyta, Magnoliopsida, Malvales, Malvaceae. The transcript is spliced from 3 exons. The record is from RefSeq and is a predicted model, not a curated record.
UCAAUUGUUUCAAGUGCUCUAACCCUAACUCAGCACAGCCAGCAGCCGCCGUCGCAGUCUUCCAGUCGUCAGCUGCCAACAAUCGGAUAUAAGUUUUUCCCUUAUUCUCUCUUCUCUCUUUCCUUCUGUCUUAAGAUUUAAUUCCUCUUUGUAACUGUUUUGCCGUUGAUUUUAGCACCAAUUUGUGCAACAGUAAUCUUUUUCCGAAGAAUCAUCAAGGUUACUGCUUCGAUCUUUCAUCCGAUCCUUUUUUAUUUCUCCAAUUUGUCUUUUCCCUGGGAAUCCUCAAUUCUUCGUUUUUGUUUUCAAUUUUCCGUGUUUCUAGAUAUUUGUAUGGUGACUGAAGUUUUUAAGGCUUUGAUGAAUCAAAGUCCUCUGCUAAUUGUUACAAGAUCAUUUUCUGACACUGAAGAAAUAAUUUGUUUCAUUUUUAUUUUCCUUUGUGAGAAUUUUGCUUAUUUUUCGUGCUUCAAUUAUGGUUUCUUCAUUUUUGAUCUUAACAGGAAACGCAAAGUCUCCUAAGUGAACCGGGAAAUUUCUUUGCUGUUUUAAUAGAAAUUAUUGUUGAAUUUUGUUUAAUAAUUUGUAAAAUUUUCAGUUGAUUGAAUAAUAGUUGGUCUGGGAUGAUUUAAAUAGUAAAGAGGGGCACCGAUGCAGAUUAUCUUUUAUCAUAAAAAAUGAUUUCUGUACGGACUCUAGUUAAAACUUGGAAAACUUUUCAUAAAUGAUUUUCGAGUGUUCAUUUUUCAGCAAUUAUUUUGUUGAAUUCUACAAGGUCUUGCAAUUUUACAGGACGAAUUUCAGCAGUUAUAACGAAAUCUUUUGUAACCUUGGUGCAUGGCCUGGAAACUAAAUUUUAUGCUGAAAUGGCUGCUAUGACCCGAGUUCCAAGGGGUACCAUUGAAAGUGUUGGGGACCAAUCAGGAUAUGUCAAUGGCAAAAAUAUAUGAUCCUUAGGAGCAGUAUUCCUGCGCUUGGGAGCCUUCUUUCACCUAUUUACUUCGUUUUUCUUGGACAAGAUAGCUGUUCUGUGCAACUUCCUUAUUGUUUAUUCUUGCGGCUUGCAUCAUCACUUGGCCCCCGGUUCUACCUGAACAUUUUCAAAUGCAAGCAGAUACCAGAAACAGAAGCCCAACAAGUACUUUUUAGUUUUCACCUGUUGUUUCUCAGUUUCCGCUAGUAUUCUAUUCAUGUGUUUAAGUAUAACUAAUAUUGGCAGUCUCUAACUCUACAUGUAUUAACUUUUGGUGAAUAUCAUCAUUUGAGAUGUUAACUCAUUUGCAAUUACUUGUAAUCAUCAUGUAUCAGCUUUUGAAU